UGGGGAAUUUUGGACAAUGGGCGAAAGCCUGAUCCAGCAAUGCCGCGUGUGUGAAGAAGGCCUUCGGGUUGUAAAGCACUUUUGUCCGGAAAGAAAUCCUUGGCUCUAAUACAGUCGGGGGAUGACGGUACCGGAAGAAUAAGCACCGGCUAACUACGUGCCAGCAGCCGCGGUAAUACGUAGGGUGCAAGCGUUAAUCGGAAUUACUGGGCGUAAAGCGUGCGCAGGCGGUUUGCUAAGACCGAUGUGAAAAUCCCCGGGCUCAACCUGGGAACUGCAUUGGUGACUGGCAGGCUAGAGUAUGGCAGAGGGGGGUAGAAUUCCACGUGUAGCAGUGAAAUGCGUAGAGAUGUGGAGGAAUACCGAUGGCGAAAGGCAGCCCCCUGGGCCAAAUACUGACGCUCAUGCACGAAAAGCGUGGGGAGCAAAACAGGAUUAGAUACCCUGGUAGUCCACGCCCUAAAACGAUGUCAACUAGUUGUUGGGGAUUC
This 491-nucleotide ribosomal RNA is filed under the name uncultured bacterium. Its description in RNAcentral is "partial 16S ribosomal RNA". It matches the Rfam family "Bacterial small subunit ribosomal RNA", at positions 355 to 832 of the family's 1533-position model. The record is from RNAcentral.